AAGACUGAAUGUAUUGUACCACCAUGCCCAGCUUCAUUUGGUACAGUCUGCUUCAACAGUCCAUAUGUCAGUAAGCUGCUCAAACCAGCUUAAAUCCUCCAGGAUCACCAAUACAUGGCUGUCUUCCUCAAUUCUGUCUUUGACCUCACGUUGCCUUAUAUCCUUUUCCCUUGGUAGCCUCUUUAAUCCCUGUGUGUAUAUGAGGAGGAAGAGGGACAGACAGAUGACAGACAGACAGACAAAUUAUCUAAUAGGCCACAUGCUUCCAGCCCCCCAUGCUGAGCCUGCUUCUAUCACUGUUCAUUUGGGAGACCUCAGACUUCAGUUUGCCUUAUUUAAAGCAAGGGCUGCUAAUAUUUAGUCUCUCCACAUCAUAGAAUUAUGAGGGCAAAAUCAAGCUCAAUGGCAUCUUGAAAAGUACAUAAUAGAUGGUGAAAAUAAAUGUGAGACUUGCCUGCUGUCAACAGAG
RNAcentral lists this long non-coding RNA (469 nucleotides) under Rattus norvegicus (Norway rat). Its description in RNAcentral is "long non-coding RNA NONRATT028525". The record is from RNAcentral. Lineage: Eukaryota; Metazoa; Chordata; Mammalia; Rodentia; Muridae.